AGUUACAUUAUGAAUUUUAAGAUUUAGAGAAAACAUCAUCAACUAAGUCCAUGUGUGUAACACGAACAUUUUAAAUGAUUUAGAUACGGUAAUAUACCUUUGUAGCCUACUCCAAAUGCACACUCUAACUAAAAAGCCCACUGGUCUCCAAACCCACCUUUCUCUACCUGAAAAAUCCCACUGAAACCUUACGUGGCAAUGUGUAGAUCUUUGUAAUGAUGACAAACUGCACUUCCAGUUCUUACAUAAUCCAUUAAUUUUUUUCUUCUCUGGGUAAAAGCCAAACGCCAGUACACUCGCAGUCCUUCAUUAACUUAAACAGCCUCAGUAGAAGGGUGUUUUAGAGACACUAAUAGGAUGUGGCAUUUGUCACUAAGACAUCAUCGGCUUAAUUUUUCUGAUGAUGCUAAUAAUAUCUUUCCUCUAUGAAAUAGGAGAGAAUAAGUUAUUUAACAACAAAUACUUCACACAACAAAGCAAAACAACAAAUGAACAUUGAAUCUUCACUAAUAAGCAAUGCAAAUUCGUUGCUUUUCACCUUAGCAACAUAAAUAUUUUUUUUCCAAAGGUGACCAUUAUAUAUUAUAUUAAACAACAAAACAUUGGAGUCUGGACUGUAAAAACUCUGCUACUAAGUAUUAUCAAC
RNAcentral lists this long non-coding RNA (646 nucleotides) under Brassica napus (rape). Its description in RNAcentral is "long non-coding RNA (BNAP_LNC021868)". The record is from RNAcentral. Lineage: Eukaryota; Viridiplantae; Streptophyta; Magnoliopsida; Brassicales; Brassicaceae.